GAGUAACACGUGACUAACCUACCCUCGAGUGGGGAAUAACUCCGGGAAACCGGGGCUAAUACCGCAUAACAUCGCAAGAUCAAAGCAGCAAUGCGCUUGAGGAGGGGGUCGCGGCUGAUUAGCUAGUUGGCGGGGUAACGGCCUACCAAGGCGAAGAUCGGUAUCCGGCCUGAGAGGGCGCACGGACACACUGGAACUGAAACACGGUCCAGACUCCUACGGGAGGCAGCAGUGGGGAAUUUUGCGCAAUGGGGGAAACCCUGACGCAGCAACGCCGCGUGGAGGAUGAAGCCCUUUGGGGCGUAAACUCCUUUCGACUCGGACGAUAAUGACGGUACGAGUGGAAGAAGCACCGGCUAACUCUGUGCCAGCAGCCGCGGUAAUACAGAGGGUGCGAGCGUUGUUCGGAAUUAUUGGGCGUAAAGGGCGCGUAGGCGGUGCGGUAAGUCACCUGUGAAAUCUCCUGGCUUAACUGGGAGCCUGCAGGCGAAACUACCGUGCUGGAGUGUGGGAGAGGUGCGUGGAAUUCCCGGUGUAGCGGUGAAAUGC
This 549-nucleotide ribosomal RNA is filed under the name uncultured bacterium. Its description in RNAcentral is "bacterial SSU rRNA". It matches the Rfam family "Bacterial small subunit ribosomal RNA", at positions 108 to 689 of the family's 1533-position model. The record is from RNAcentral.